RNAcentral lists this ribosomal RNA (1556 nucleotides) under Shigella sp. FC569. RNAcentral's name for it is "bacterial SSU rRNA". It matches the Rfam family "Bacterial small subunit ribosomal RNA". Lineage: Bacteria; Pseudomonadati; Pseudomonadota; Gammaproteobacteria; Enterobacterales; Enterobacteriaceae. The record is from RNAcentral.
UUAAAUUGAAGAGUUUGAUCAUGGCUCAGAUUGAACGCUGGCGGCAGGCCUAACACAUGCAAGUCGAACGGUAACAGGAAGCAGCUUGCUGCUUUGCUGACGAGUGGCGGACGGGUGAGUAAUGUCUGGGAAACUGCCCGAUGGAGGGGGAUAACUACUGGAAACGGUGGCUAAUACCGCAUAACGUCGCAAGACCAAAGAGGGGGACCUUCGGGCCUCUUGCCAUCGGAUGUGCCCAGAUGGGAUUAGCUAGUAGGUGGGGUAAAGGCUCACCUAGGCGACGAUCCCUAGCUGGUCUGAGAGGAUGACCAGCCACACUGGAACUGAGACACGGUCCAGACUCCUACGGGAGGCAGCAGUGGGGAAUAUUGCACAAUGGGCGCAAGCCUGAUGCAGCCAUGCCGCGUGUAUGAAGAAGGCCUUCGGGUUGUAAAGUACUUUCAGCGGGGAGGAAGGGAGUAAAGUUAAUACCUUUGCUCAUUGACGUUACCCGCAGAAGAAGCACCGGCUAACUCCGUGCCAGCAGCCGCGGUAAUACGGAGGGUGCAAGCGUUAAUCGGAAUUACUGGGCGUAAAGCGCACGCAGGCGGUUUGUUAAGUCAGAUGUGAAAUCCCCGGGCUCAACCUGGGAACUGCAUCUGAUACUGGCAAGCUUGAGUCUCGUAGAGGGGGGUAGAAUUCCAGGUGUAGCGGUGAAAUGCGUAGAGAUCUGGAGGAAUACCGGUGGCGAAGGCGGCCCCCUGGACGAAGACUGACGCUCAGGUGCGAAAGCGUGGGGAGCAAACAGGAUUAGAUACCCUGGUAGUCCACGCCGUAAACGAUGUCGACUUGGAGGUUGUGCCCUUGAGGCGUGGCUUCCGGAGCUAACGCGUUAAGUCGACCGCCUGGGGAGUACGGCCGCAAGGUUAAAACUCAAAUGAAUUGACGGGGGCCCGCACAAGCGGUGGAGCAUGUGGUUUAAUUCGAUGCAACGCGAAGAACCUUACCUGGUCUUGACAUCCACGGAAGUUUUCAGAGAUGAGAAUGUGCCUUCGGGAACCGUGAGACAGGUGCUGCAUGGCUGUCGUCAGCUCGUGUUGUGAAAUGUUGGGUUAAGUCCCGCAACGAGCGCAACCCUUAUCCUUUGUUGCCAGCGGUCCGGCCGGGAACUCAAAGGAGACUGCCAGUGAUAAACUGGAGGAAGGUGGGGAUGACGUCAAGUCAUCAUGGCCCUUACGACCAGGGCUACACACGUGCUACAAUGGCGCAUACAAAGAGAAGCGACCUCGCGAGAGCAAGCGGACCUCAUAAAGUGCGUCGUAGUCCGGAUUGGAGUCUGCAACUCGACUCCAUGAAGUCGGAAUCGCUAGUAAUCGUGGAUCAGAAUGCCACGGUGAAUACGUUCCCGGGCCUUGUACACACCGCCCGUCACACCAUGGGAGUGGGUUGCAAAAGAAGUAGGUAGCUUAACCUUCGGGAGGGCGCUUACCACUUUGUGAUUCAUGACUGGGGUGAAGUCGUAACAAGGUAACCGUAGGGGAACCUGCGGUUGGAUCACCUCCUUACCUUAAAGAAGC